Molecule: long non-coding RNA, 594 nt
Filed under: Homo sapiens (human)
Lineage: Eukaryota; Metazoa; Chordata; Mammalia; Primates; Hominidae
Description: non-protein coding lnc-MACROD2-1:9
Source: RNAcentral
CUUUCCUUUGUAAUUUCAGGGCUUAAGCACUAUUAUCCUAAUCCAAGUUCACAGUCCUGUUGUUGUCGAGGAGGGUUCAAAAUCAUUUGGAGAUAAUCAAGCUCAGACAGCUUAGGAUAGGUGAGAAGAACAUAGAGGAAGCAGGGAGAAGGCUGAGAAGCAAGCAGGAGUGAGCGCUAAGUGUUUUGUUUCCAGUUAGCUGUUCGCUGUCUUUUCCAUUUAACCUGGGCACUGCCCUAGCCUCAUCUUCAGCCUUCAGUGAUCUAUAAUAGCAUUUCCUUCUGUCUCCUCUCAGUCUCUCUUCUGCCUUCCUUCCCUCCUUUACUGUAUUAGCAACAAGCUGUCCAUGGGUGGGGGCUGUGUGUUAGCCUGUACGUAGCACAUGGGACUUUCCACAUAGUAGAUAUUCAGUUACAUUUUGAACUAAUUAUAUAACAAACUUGCCCUUUGAAAGACUAAGUUAUAGUUAAAAACCAAGAUUUGUAGGAGAAAAAGAAAUUAUUGUUCCCUUCAGUUUGAAAAAUCAUCGAUAUUUGAAACUGGGAUACGCUUGGUAGCUUUUUUGUUUUAACACAAAGUAAACCUGUGAAGUAG